Molecule: ribosomal RNA, 460 nt
Filed under: uncultured Porphyromonas sp.
Lineage: Bacteria; Pseudomonadati; Bacteroidota; Bacteroidia; Bacteroidales; Porphyromonadaceae
Description: bacterial SSU rRNA
Rfam family: Bacterial small subunit ribosomal RNA
Source: RNAcentral
CCUACGGGGGGCAGCAGUGAGGAAUAUUGGUCAAUGGGCGAGAGCCUGAACCAGCCAAGUCGCGUGAAGGAUGACUGUCUUAUGGAUUGUAAACUUCUUUUGUAGGGGAAUAAAGAGGGGCACGUGUGCCUCAGUGAAUGUACCCUACGAAUAAGCAUCGGCUAACUCCGUGCCAGCAGCCGCGGUAAUACGGAGGAUGCGAGCGUUAUCCGGCUUUAUUGGGUUUAAAGGGUGCGUAGGCGGCCUGUUAAGUCAGCGGUGAAAUCUAGGAGCUUAACUCCUAAAUUGCCAUUGAUACUGGCGGGCUUGAGUGUAGAGGAGGUAGGCGGAAUGCGUGGUGUAGCGGUGGAAUGCAUAGAUAUCACGCAGAACUCCGAUUGCGAAGGCAGCUUACUAAGGUACAACUGACGCUGAAGCACGAAAGCGUGGGUAUCAAACAGGAUUAGAUACCCCGGUAGUC